This 1504-nucleotide ribosomal RNA is filed under the name human gut metagenome. RNAcentral describes it as "bacterial LSU rRNA". It matches the Rfam family "Bacterial large subunit ribosomal RNA", at positions 1393 to 2925 of the family's 2925-position model. The record is from RNAcentral.
AAGCCGAGGCUAAAGUGCGUAGGCGAAUGGAAAACAGAUUAAUAUUUCUGUGCCAGUUAUAUUUUGUGAUGGAGGGACGCAGAAGGGUAUGCACGCAGGAGAACGGAAGUUCCUGUGGAAGCGCGUAGAGUGAUCUAGUAGGCAAAUCCGCUAGAUUAGACUUGAGGCGUAAAGGAAAGGUGCAAAUCCCACGCUGCCGAGAAAAGCUUCUAACGUUAAGGUAUAACUGCCCGUACCCGAAACCGACACAGGUGGUCAGGAUGAGAAAUCUAAGGCGGACAGGCUAACUCUCGUUAAGGAACUCUGCAAAAUUGCCCCGUAACUUAGGGAGAAGGGGUGCCUCUGAAUGUUAGUAAACACGCGUUACAAAGCGUUUGGAGGUCGCAGUGAAGAGGCUCAAGCAACUGUUUAACAAAAACACAGGUCUAUGCUAAGCUGUAAGGCGAUGUAUAUGGGCUGACACCUGCCCAGUGCCGGAAGGUUAAGAGGAGGAGUGAGAGCUCCGAAUUGAAGCCCCGGUGAACGGCGGCCGUAACUAUAACGGUCCUAAGGUAGCGAAAUUCCUUGUCGGGUAAGUUCCGACCUGCACGAAUGGUGUAAUGAUUUGAGCGCUGUCUUGACGGGAGGCCUGGUGAAAUUGUAUUACCGGUGAAGAUACCGGUUACCUACAGUAGGACGGAAAGACCCCAUGGAGCUUUACUGUAGCUUGGUAUUGGGUUCUGGCAUUGCAUGUAUAGGAUAGUUGGGAAACUAUGAUGGUAUGGCGCUAGCUGUAUCGGAGUUGUCGGUGGAAUACCAACCAUUCAAUGUCGGAAUUCUAAUCUGUGGUUUGUAGCCACGGAAACAGUGCUAGGUGGGCAGUUUGACUGGGGCGGUCGCCUCCGAAAGAGUAACGGAGGCGUUCAAAGGUUCUCUCAGGUUGGAUGGAAAUCAACCGCAGAGUGCAAUGGCAUAAGAGAGCUUGACUGCAAGACUGACGGGUCGAGCAGGUGCGAAAGCAGGACAUAGUGAUCCGGCGAUUCCGAAUGGAAGGGUCGUCGCUCAACGGAUAAAAGCUACCCUGGGGAUAACAGGCUGAUCCUACCCGAGAGUCCAUAUCGACGGUAGGGUUUGGCACCUCGAUGUCGGCUCAUCGCAUCCUGGGGCUGGAGAAGGUCCCAAGGGUUGGGCUGUUCGCCCAUUAAAGCGGUACGUGAGCUGGGUUCAGAACGUCGUGAGACAGUUCGGUCCCUAUCCACUGUAGGCGUAAGAAUAUUGAGAAGAUCUGUCCUUAGUACGAGAGGACCGGGAUGGACAAACCUCUGAUGUACCAGUUGUCACGCCAGUGGCACAGCUGGGUAGUCACGUUUGGAACGGAUAACCGCUGAAAGCAUCUAAGCGGGAAACCAGCUUCAAGAUAAGUAUUCUUUAAGACUCCUUCGAGACUAGGAGGUUGAUAGGUUGGGGGUGUAAGAGUUGUGAGACUUUUAGCUGACCAAUACUAAUAAGUCGAAGUUUUAACCUA